CCUACGGGAGGCAGCAGUCGAGAAUCAUUCACAAUGGGGGAAACCCUGAUGGUGCGACGCCGCGUGGGGGAAUGAAGGUCUUCGGAUUGUAAACCCCUGUCAUGUGGGAGCAAAUUAAAAAGAUAGUACCACAAGAGGAAGAGACGGCUAACUCUGUGCCAGCAGCCGCGGUAAUACAGAGGUCGCAAGCGUUGUUCGGAAUCACUGGGCGUAAAGCGUGCGUAGGCUGUUUCGUAAGUCGUGUGUGAAAGGCGCGGGCUCAACCCGCGGACGGCACAUGAUACUGCGAGACUAGAGUAAGGGAGGGGGAACCGGAAUUCUCGGUGUAGCAGUGAAAUGCGUAGAUAUCGAGAGGAACACUCGUGGCGAAGGCGGGUUCCUGGACAUUAACUGACGCUGCGGCACGAAGGCCAGGGGAGCGAAAGGGAUUAGAUACCCCUGUAGUC
RNAcentral lists this ribosomal RNA (446 nucleotides) under uncultured bacterium. RNAcentral's name for it is "partial 16S ribosomal RNA". It matches the Rfam family "Bacterial small subunit ribosomal RNA", at positions 338 to 795 of the family's 1533-position model. The record is from RNAcentral.